This is a ribosomal RNA of 1353 nucleotides. It matches the Rfam family "Bacterial small subunit ribosomal RNA", at positions 96 to 1461 of the family's 1533-position model.
CGGCGCACGGGUGAGUAACACGAUAUCCAACCUGCCGAUAACUCGGGGAUAGCCUUUCGAANGAAAGAUUAAUACCCGAUGGUAUAAUCAGACCGCAUGGUCUUGUUAUUAAAGAAUUUCGGUUAUCGAUGGGGAUGCGUUCCAUUAGGCAGUUGGUGAGGUAACGGCUCACCAAACCUUCGAUGGAUAGGGGUUCUGAGAGGAAGGUCCCCCACAUUGGAACUGAGACACGGUCCAAACUCCUACGGGAGGCAGCAGUGAGGAAUAUUGGUCAAUGGGCGCAGGCCUGAACCAGCCAAGUAGCGUGAAGGAUGACUGCCCUAUGGGUUGUAAACUUCUUUUAUAUGGGAAUAAAGUUUUCCACGUGUGGAAUUUUGUAUGUACCAUAUGAAUAAGGAUCGGCUAACUCCGUGCCAGCAGCCGCGGUAAUACGGAGGAUCCGAGCGUUAUCCGGAUUUAUUGGGUUUAAAGGGGAGCGUAGGUGGACAGUUAAGUCAGUUGUGAAAGUUUGCGGCUCAACCGUAAAAUUGCAGUUGAUACUGGCUGUCUUGAGUACAGUAGAGGUGGGCGGAAUUCGUGGUGUAGCGGUGAAAAUGCUUAGAUAUCACGAAGAACUCCGAUUGCGAAGGCAGCUCACUGGACUGCAACUGACACUGAUGCUCGAAAGUGUGGGUAUCAAACAGGAUUAGAUACCCUGGUAGUCCACACAGUAAACGAUGAAUACUCGCUGUUUGCGAUAUACAGUAAGCGGCCAAGCGAAAGCAUUAAGUAUUCCACCUGGGGAGUACGCCGGCAACGGUGAAACUCAAAGGAAUUGACGGGGGCCCGCACAAGCGGAGGAACAUGUGGUUUAAUUCGAUGAUACGCGAGGAACCUUACCCGGGCUUAAAUUGCAUUUGAAUAUAUUGGAAACAGUAUAGCCGUAAGGCAAAUGUGAAGGUGCUGCAUGGUUGUCGUCAGCUCGUGCCGUGAGGUGUCGGCUUAAGUGCCAUAACGAGCGCAACCCUUAUCUUUAGUUACUAACAGGUCAUGCUGAGGACUCUAGAGAGACUGCCGUCGUAAGAUGUGAGGAAGGUGGGGAUGACGUCAAAUCAGCACGGCCCUUACGUCCGGGGCUACACACGUGUUACAAUGGGGGGUACAGAAGGCAGCUACCUGGUGACAGGAUGCUAAUCCCAAAAGCCUCUCUCAGUUCGGAUCGAAGUCUGCAACCCGACUUCGUGAAGCUGGAUUCGCUAGUAAUCGCGCAUCAGCCAUGGCGCGGUGAAUACGUUCCCGGGCCUUGUACACACCGCCCGUCAAGCCAUGAAAGCCGGGGGUACCUGAAGUACGUAACCGCAAGGAGCUCCUAGG